This 76-nucleotide transfer RNA is filed under the name bacterium. Its description in RNAcentral is "tRNA-Thr". It matches the Rfam family "tRNA". From Rfam's summary of the family: Transfer RNA (tRNA) molecules are approximately 80 nucleotides in length. Their secondary structure includes four short double-helical elements and three loops (D, anti-codon, and T loops). The record is from RNAcentral. RNAcentral also lists the same sequence under 1 other name.
GCUCGGAUAGCUCAGUUGGUAGAGCAGGGGUUUUGUAAACCUCAGGUCGUAGGUUCGAAUCCUAUUCCGAGCUCCA